RNAcentral lists this ribosomal RNA (301 nucleotides) under uncultured bacterium. RNAcentral's name for it is "partial 16S ribosomal RNA". It matches the Rfam family "Bacterial small subunit ribosomal RNA", at positions 509 to 807 of the family's 1533-position model. The record is from RNAcentral.
CAGUCGCCACGGUAAUACGAAGGGGGCUAGCGUUGCUCGGAAUUACUGGGCGUAAAGGGCGCGUAGGCGGCGCUCCAAGUUAGGCGUGAAAUUCCCGGGCUCAACCUGGGGACUGCGCUUAAGACUGGAGUGCUUGAGGAUGGAAGAGGGUUGUGGAAUUCCCAGUGUAGAGGUGAAAUUCGUAGAUAUUGGGGAGAACACCGGUGGCGAAGGCGGCAACCUGGUCCAUUACUGACGCUGAGGCGCGAUAGCGUGGGGAGCAAACAGGAUUAGAUACCCCAGUAGUCCCUGUCUCUUAUAC